This is a long non-coding RNA of Ornithodoros turicata, 979 nucleotides long. RefSeq lists it as uncharacterized. The transcript has 3 exons. The record is from RefSeq and is a predicted model, not a curated record. Lineage: Eukaryota; Metazoa; Arthropoda; Arachnida; Ixodida; Argasidae.
UUAGAUGUGUCAUCUCGAAUGAAUUCUAGCCAUUUACUCUCAAAGCGUUACGUAGUGUGGCAUGAUAUCCUCAAAUUAAUGCGGUUCUCAGUUAAAAAGAAAACGGACGACUGCCAUUGUUCUCUGUGCAUUGAGCCAUGUCUAUCAUUGUGAAUGCAAAGAGAGAGACGGUGACAGUUGUAUUGCCCAAGGUUUUGUGUAGGCUUUGAGCACACUUCGCUAGCAUACUCUUGCAAGCUUUGAACACACGUAGGCCUUGAGCACAAUCGCGGCCUCAUAACUGCAAAUGUGCCCAGUAUGCGAACCGUUUGUGUUGACUUAGCUUUUUGGAGUUGGAUAGAUUCAACUGAACUGGUUUCGUGGGUCAGGGGAUGAUGAUUCAGCGUGGUACUCACUGUCGCAUGAGCCAAGCACGCAAGGUUCUGUUCGUUAUAUUUAAUAAGGCUCGUAAUUUUAUAUAGCUGGCGUCACAGACACUGGUGCUGUGAUGUUUGGCACAGACGACUCUGACACUGUCGUGCCGUACAGCCACCUAAACUGAUCUUUGAUCUUUGUCUCUCAAUUUGCAAGAAUCUUAGGGCUCCCUAGUGGUCGGUAAGCUGGCAGUGCUGCUUAUUAUAGGUGUCUGUAAAAGAUUUAAACUGUACAAAGACUUGCAAUAUGCAGAUGAUGUGUCCAUCAGCAGUACGCGUCCAUCACUGAGUGUGACACAGCAAGGAUCGCAAAGGAGUGGAAGCCUGUGCAUUGAAGCAGUGAACUUCUUCCUACGCACUAGCUUGCAGUCCAAUAUGUAAUGUGAAGUUUGCCUUCCCGUGAUCACAGCUGCUGCCGCGCAGGUCACUGCGUCGCAAGCUCAAGGACUUGCGUUGCAACGGCGUGUUACAGGAACUCACACUGCUUGAAGGCCACUCAGUGAAAUGUGCAGUUCGAAGGAUAUUGGCCCACAGACGAGCUAGCCCAGCUACACAGUUGGAAACAG